Molecule: RNase P RNA, 366 nt
Filed under: Geobacteraceae bacterium
Lineage: Bacteria; Pseudomonadati; Thermodesulfobacteriota; Desulfuromonadia; Geobacterales; Geobacteraceae
Description: RNase P RNA component class A
Rfam family: Bacterial RNase P class A
About the family: Ribonuclease P (RNase P) is a ubiquitous endoribonuclease, found in archaea, bacteria and eukarya as well as chloroplasts and mitochondria. Its best characterised activity is the generation of mature 5'-ends of tRNAs by cleaving the 5'-leader elements of precursor-tRNAs.
Source: RNAcentral
CGAAGUAGACCAGAUGGCCGCCGCCCUCCGGGGGGGAGGAAAGUCCGGGCUCCACAGGGCAUGGUGCUGGAUAACGUCCAGCGGGGGUGACCCCAGGGAAAGUGCCACAGAGAGAAGUCCGCCCGCCUAGGCGGGUAAGGGUGAAAGGGUGAGGUAAGAGCUCACCGGGUCCGGCGGCGACGCCGGAUGCCAGGUAAACCCCACCAGGAGCAAGACCAAAUAGGGAAGCGUUAAGGACGGCCCGUCCGUGCUUCCGGGUUGGUUGCUUGAGGUCGCCGGCAACGGCGAUCCUAGAUGAAUGACCAUCGCCCGCCUCCGGGUAACCGGCUGCGGGAACAGAACCCGGCUUACGGGCUGCUUCGGCCA